AUUCUAGGCUCCGCGUCUCGCUGUCCCCACUCCGUCUCCUCCGGCUCCGUCUCAUCCCGAUGCCGCUCCUUCUCAUCGUCGUCGUCCCAGUCCCGGAGUCGCUCCCCUCCUCUGGCUAAGCGCAGGUCAAGCUACAUUCUGUGCUAUUCAAAGGCCCCAAGGAUGACGCAAUGGCAAUGACUAUCUACCAAUGGACAUCGUGGAGCUAUCUUCCGAUCAUUUGAUAGAGAAUAAACCUUUGCUGCUAAAGGAUGUCAAGUUCCAAAACGUACACGGGCUUACCAGUGCUUAUAGACCUUUGUUUGUUCGGGACACUACCUUUGCUAAUGGGGAACAGGCAAGGGGGAAAUCUUCUUAUAGAUAUGUUUCGUCACUGUGACAAUCAUUUGGGAGAGAAACAAGUAAACAACCCUUUUUUCCAUAAAACUCCAUCUGGAAGUGCACGACAGCCACUACAGUUGACUAACGAUGUAACCAAGAUGAUGCAAAAGCAUCAGCUGGAAACGCCACAGUUCCAUCAGACCCGAUUUUCCGUUUUACUGAAUGUACCGAGGAGCACAGAGAAAGAUGUCUCCUUUUUAAUUCCUCAUUCUUGGCUGCCUGCUAUGUUGGAUGAUCAGAUGUCAUUUCCAUCCCUAAGACAAACAAGAACUACAGGCUGCUUCCGUCUUCACCCAAUCAGGGAUGAGGAUGCCAAGUUCAAGCUCUGCAAUGGGAUGUCUGUUCAAUUUGACGUCGGCAACAUGGUCAUGGUGACCGGCGGGAGGAACACCGGGCGUGUAGGAGUGAUCAAGAACUGGGAGAAGCACAAGGGCAUCUUCGAGGUCAUCGACGUGCUGCUUGGAGCUUUUUGCAUGCUAUGUCUAGUUUUCUCAUAUUUGUUGUACAGGAAAACAUAGAAUGGAAUUCAAAUUUGGUGGUCGCAAAAGUGUGGAGACUUGAAUUCAUAUAAAGUUAGGCUUAACAUCAGUGCAAACAGUUAUAUUUUAGUUUAGAUUUAGAGUACACUUAUGUAUGCCUUGUUUGACAAUGCUUAUUUAUGAUAUAUUGAAUGGUACU
Molecule: RNA transcript, 1059 nt
Organism: Zea mays
Lineage: Eukaryota; Viridiplantae; Streptophyta; Magnoliopsida; Poales; Poaceae
Gene name: 40S ribosomal protein S4-like pseudogene
Exons: 10
Source: RefSeq, marked validated